ACGGAUGGCCGGAUGACCGCGGGGGGCGCGCAAGCGUCGUGCCGAGGAAAGUCCGGACUCCAUGAAGCAAGGGCGCCGGGUAACUCCCGGCCGGGGUAACCCGAGGGAAAGCGCAACAGAGAAGAGACAGCCGCGCCGCCGGCCUCGGUCGGAGACCGGUGCGGUGAUGGUGAAACGGUGGGGUAAGAGCCCACCGCGGUCCUGGCAACAGGAAUGGCAUGGCAAGCCCCGCCCGGAGCAAUGCCGAAUAGGGGCCUCGCGCGGGGCAGGUCGGGUCCGCCCGAUACCGCCGCAGGGAUGCUUCAGCCCGAGAGGCCCGGGUUGGCAGCUGGAUCCCGUCCGUAAGGGCGGGGGCAGAGGAAUGGUCAUCCAGGGCAGGCAACUGCCUGGACAGAAUCCGGCUUACAGGCCAUCCGUGCAA
Molecule: RNase P RNA, 421 nt
Filed under: Rhodobacter sp. 24-YEA-8
Lineage: Bacteria; Pseudomonadati; Pseudomonadota; Alphaproteobacteria; Rhodobacterales
Also listed under: 2 other names
Description: Bacterial RNase P class A
Rfam family: Bacterial RNase P class A
About the family: Ribonuclease P (RNase P) is a ubiquitous endoribonuclease, found in archaea, bacteria and eukarya as well as chloroplasts and mitochondria. Its best characterised activity is the generation of mature 5'-ends of tRNAs by cleaving the 5'-leader elements of precursor-tRNAs.
Source: Rfam by way of RNAcentral